CUACCCGACUUCAAACUACACUACAGGGCUACAGUAACCAGAACAGCAUGGUACUGGUACAAGAACAGACACAUAGAGCAAUGGAGCAGAAUAGAGAACCCACCAGAAAUAAGACCUCAUACCUACAACUAUCUGAUCUUCAACAAGCCUGAGGAAAACAAGCAAUGGGGAAAGGAUUUCCUAUUCAAGAAAUGGUGCUGGGAGAACUGGCUAGCCAUAUGCAGAAGGUUGAAACUGGAACUCUUCCUUACACCAUAUACAAAAAUUAACUUAAGAUGUAUUAAAGACUUAAAUGUAAAACGCAAAACUAUAAAAACCCUGGAAGACAACUUAGGCAAUACUACUCAGGACAUAGGCAUCGGCAAAAGUAAUUGCAACAAAAGCAAAAAUUGACAAAUGGGAUCUAAUUAAACUAAAGAGCUUCUGCACAGCAAAAGAAACUAUCAGCAGAGUGGACAGACAACAUACAGAAUGGGAGAAAAGUUUUGUAAACUAUGCAUCCAACAAAGGUCUGAUAUCCAGCAUCUAUAAGAAACUUAAACAAAUGUACAAGAAAAAAACGAACAACUCCAUAAAAAAGUGGGCAAAGGGCAUGAACGGACACUUCUCAAAAGAAGACAUACAUGUAGCCAACAGUCAUAUGAAAAACAGCUCAACAUCACUGAUCAUUAGAGAAAUGCAAAUCAAGACCACAAUGACCAUCCCACACCAGUCAGAAUAGCUAUUAUUAAAAAGUCAAAAACUAACAGAUGCAGGUUGUGGAGAAAAAGGAACGUUUAUACACUGUUGGCGGGAGUGUAAAUUAGUUCAACCAUUGUGGAAGACAGUGUGGCAAUACCUCAAAGACCCAAAG
RNAcentral lists this long non-coding RNA (853 nucleotides) under Homo sapiens (human). RNAcentral's name for it is "long non-coding RNA NONHSAT117507.2". The record is from RNAcentral. Lineage: Eukaryota; Metazoa; Chordata; Mammalia; Primates; Hominidae.